This 262-nucleotide ribosomal RNA is filed under the name uncultured bacterium. RNAcentral describes it as "partial 16S ribosomal RNA". It matches the Rfam family "Bacterial small subunit ribosomal RNA", at positions 793 to 1055 of the family's 1533-position model. The record is from RNAcentral.
GUCCACGCCCUAAACGAUGUCUACUAGUUGUUGGUGGAGUAAAUCCAUGAGUAACGCAGCUAACGCGUGAAGUAGACCGCCUGGGGAGUACGGUCGCAAGAUUAAACUCAAAUGAAUUGACGGGGCCCGCACAAGCGGUGGAUUAUGUGGAUUAAUUCGAUGCAACGCGAAAACCUUACCUGGCCUUGACAUGUAACGAACUUUCCAGAGAUGGAUUGGUGCUCGAAAGAGAACGUUAACACAGGUGCUGCAUGGCUGUCGU